AUUGUGGGAAUGAUGAAAAGGUUGGUGUUAAACCAAUUAAAUUUGAUUGAAUUGUGGGAAUGAUGAAAAUGUUAUAGUUAAACCCAUGAAAAUUGAUUAAAUUGUGGGAAUGAUGAAAUUGUUGCUCUUAAAACCAUAAAAUUUGAUUGAAUUGAGUAAAUGACGAAAACGUUGCUAUUAAACCCAUGGAAUUUUAUUGAAUUGUGGGAAUGAUGAAAAGGUUGCUGUUAAACCAAUAAAAUUCAAUUGAAUUGUGUCAAUGAUGAAGACUUUUUUUUAAACCCAUGAAAUUAGAUUGAAUUGUGUGAAUGAUGAAAAUGUUAUUGAUAAAC
RNAcentral lists this long non-coding RNA (332 nucleotides) under Lathyrus oleraceus (garden pea). RNAcentral's name for it is "Pisum sativum (pea) long non-coding RNA (PSAT_LNC041666)". The record is from RNAcentral. Lineage: Eukaryota; Viridiplantae; Streptophyta; Magnoliopsida; Fabales; Fabaceae.